UCUAAUACUUCAUAAUAUCCAUCUCGUAUGGAUUAAAGCUUUAUGCGCUUUGGGAGGGGCCUGCGUAACAUUAGCUUGUUGGUGAGGUAAAAGCUCACCAAGGGCUUCGAUGUUUAACUGGUUUGAGAGGAUGACCAGUCACACUGGGACUGAGAUACGGCCCAGACUCCUACGGGAGGCAGCAGUAAGGAAUCUUCCACAAUGGGGCAACCCUGAUGGAGCAAUACCGCGUGCAGGAUGAAGCGCUUCGGCGUGUAAACUGCUUUUAUCACCGAAGAUUAUGACUGUAGGUGAAGAAUAAGGACCGGCUAACUACGUG
Molecule: ribosomal RNA, 319 nt
Filed under: uncultured bacterium
Lineage: Bacteria
Description: bacterial SSU rRNA
Rfam family: Bacterial small subunit ribosomal RNA
Source: RNAcentral